Molecule: ribosomal RNA, 468 nt
Filed under: uncultured bacterium
Lineage: Bacteria
Description: partial 16S ribosomal RNA
Rfam family: Bacterial small subunit ribosomal RNA
Source: RNAcentral
GACGAACGCUGGCGGCGUGCUUAACACAUGCAAGUCGAACGGAAAGGCCCUGCUUUUGUGGGGUGCUCGAGUGGCGAACGGGUGAGUAACACGUGAGUAACCUGCCCUUGACUUUGGGAUAACUUCAGGAAACUGGGGCUAAUACCGGAUAGGAGCUCCUGCUGCAUGGUGGGGGUUGGAAAGUUUCGGCGGUUGGGGAUGAAUGCGGGGCUUUUCGGCUUGUUGGUGGGGUAGGGGCUGACCAAGCCUUUGACGGGUAGCCGGCCUGAGAGGGUGACCGGCCACAUUGGGACUGAGAUACGGCCCAGUCUCCUACGGGAGGCAGCAGUGGGGAAUAUUGCACAAUGGGCGGAAGCCUGAUGCAGCAACGCCGCGUUCGGGAUGACGGCCUUCGGGUUGUAAACCGCUUUCGCCUGUGACGAAGCGUGAGUGACGGUAAUGGGUAAAGAAGCACCGGCUAACUACGUG